RNAcentral lists this ribosomal RNA (206 nucleotides) under uncultured bacterium. Its description in RNAcentral is "partial 16S ribosomal RNA". It matches the Rfam family "Bacterial small subunit ribosomal RNA", at positions 568 to 774 of the family's 1533-position model. The record is from RNAcentral.
AGCGCAGGCGGGCGAUCAAGUUGGAAGUGAAAUCCAUGGGCUCAACCCAUGAACUGCUUUCAAAACUGGCCGUCUUGAGUAGUGCAGAGGUAGGCGGAAUUCCCGGUGUAGCGGUGGAAUGCGUAGAUAUCGGGAGGAACACCAGUGGCGAAGGCGGCCUAUUGGGCACCAACUGACGCUGAGGCUCGAAAGUGUGGUAGCAAACA